This 1474-nucleotide ribosomal RNA is filed under the name uncultured Bordetella sp. RNAcentral's name for it is "partial 16S-23S ribosomal RNA intergenic spacer". It matches the Rfam family "Bacterial small subunit ribosomal RNA". The record is from RNAcentral. Lineage: Bacteria; Pseudomonadati; Pseudomonadota; Betaproteobacteria; Burkholderiales; Alcaligenaceae.
UCAUGGCUCAGAUUGAACGCUGGCGGGAUGCUUUGGUACAUGCAAGUCGAACGGCAGCACGGACUUCGGUCUGGUGGCGAGUGGCGAACGGGUGAGUAAUGUAUCGGAACGUGCCUAGUAGCGGGGAUAACUACGCGAAAGCGUAGCUAAUACCGCACACAGCCCUUCGGGGGAAAGCGGGGGGACCUUCGGGCCUCGCAAUUAGAGCGGCCGAUAUCGGAUUAGCUAGUUGGUGGGUAACGGCUCACCAAGGCGACGAUCCGUAGCUGGUUUGAGAGGACGACCAGCCACACUGGGACUGAGACACGGCCCAGACUCCUACGGAGGCAGCAGUGGGAAUUUUGACAAUGGGGGAAACCCUGAUCCAGCCAUCCCGCGUGUGCGAUGAAGGCCUUCGGGUUGUAAAGCACUUUUGGCAGGAAAGUUAAAACGGCACGGGAUAAUACCCCGUGCAACUGACAGUACCUGCAGAAUAAGCACUACACCAUGUGCCAGCAGCCGCGGUAAUACGUAGGGUGCAAGCGUUAAUCGGAAUUACUGGGCGUAAAGCGCGCAGGCGGUUCGGAAAGAAGAUGGAAUCCCAGAGCUUAAAUCCUUCUUGGAACUGCAUUUAACUACCGAGUUAGAGUGUGUCAGAGGGAGGUGGAAUUCGCGUAGCAGCGAAAUGCGUAGAUAUGGCGGAGGAACACCGAUGGCGAAGGCAGCCUCUGGAUAACACUGACGCUCAUGCACGAAAGCGUGGGGAGCAACAGAUUAGAUACUCCUGUAGUCCACGCCCUAAACGAUGUCAACUAGCUGUUGGGGCCUUCGGGCCUUGGUAGCGCAGCAACGCGUGAAGUUGACCCCGCCUGGGGAGUACGGUCGCAAGAUUAAAACUCAAAGGAAUUGACGGGGAUCCCGCACAAGCGGUGGAUGAUGUGGAUUAAUUCGAUGCAACGCGAAAAACCUUACCUACCCUUGACAUGUCUGAACUCUGGAAGAGAUUUUGGGAGUGCCUGCAAGAGGAACCGGAACACAGGUGCUGCAUGGCUGUCGUCACCGUGUUUGCAGAUGCUGGGUUAAGUCCCGCAACGAGCAAGUAAACCUCGUGGUUGGCUAGUUGCCACGAAAGGGCACUCUACGAGACUGCUGGUGACAAACCGAGGAAGGUGGGGAUGACGUCAAGUCCUCAUGGCCCUUAUGGUAGGGCUUCACACGUCAUACAAUGGUCGGGACAGUGGUCGCCAACCCGCGAGGGGGAGCUAAUCCCAGAAACCCGAUCGUAGUCCGGAUCGCAGUCUGCAACUCGACUGCGUGAAGUCGGAAUCGCUAGUAAUCGCGGAUCAGCAUGUCGCGGUGAAUACGUUCCUGGUCUUGUACACACCGCCCGUCACACCAUGUGGGAGUGGGCUUUACCAGAAGUAGUUAGCCUAACCGUAAGGAGGGCGAUUACCACGGUAGGAUUCAUGACUGGGGUGAAGUCGUAACAAGGUAG